AUCCAAGUGCUGGAAUAGGGAGACAGAGUAGGUUUAAAUUCUAUUGAGUAUUUACUCGUGAGCGUUCAAGUCGCUCCUUGGAUA
RNAcentral lists this transfer RNA (84 nucleotides) under Phyllosticta yuccae. RNAcentral's name for it is "tRNA-Leu". Lineage: Eukaryota; Fungi; Ascomycota; Dothideomycetes; Botryosphaeriales; Phyllostictaceae. The record is from RNAcentral.